AUUUAUAUAGUUUAAAUAAUAAAACAUUACAUUUUCAUUGUAAAAUUAAAAAAUUAAAUUUUUUAUAAAUU
RNAcentral lists this transfer RNA (71 nucleotides) under Rotunda rotundapex. Its description in RNAcentral is "tRNA-Glu". The record is from RNAcentral. Lineage: Eukaryota; Metazoa; Arthropoda; Insecta; Lepidoptera; Bombycidae.